This is a long non-coding RNA of Rhipicephalus sanguineus (brown dog tick), 219 nucleotides long. RefSeq lists it as uncharacterized. The transcript has 2 exons. Lineage: Eukaryota; Metazoa; Arthropoda; Arachnida; Ixodida; Ixodidae. The record is from RefSeq and is a predicted model, not a curated record.
CUGGACAGGUUCAAGGAGCCGCCUGCAUUUGGUCCCAUGUGCGACCUGCUAUGGUCGGAUCCACUUGAAGACUUCGGCAAUGAGAAGAAUGCGGAGCAUUUUAGUCACAAUAGCGUCCGCGGAUGCUCAUAUUUCUAUAGCUAUGCAGCAUGUUGCGAGUUUCUCCAGCAGAACAACCUCCUCUCUAUUAUUCGGGCUCAUGAAGCUCAGGACGCUGGG